RNAcentral lists this unclassified non-coding RNA (198 nucleotides) under uncultured Ramaria. Its description in RNAcentral is "sequence contains ITS1". Lineage: Eukaryota; Fungi; Basidiomycota; Agaricomycetes; Gomphales; Gomphaceae. The record is from RNAcentral.
CAGUAUGAUUAGGGGGGCUUGUCGCUGGCUUCGGCAUGUGCGCGCCCCUCGCCUUCUAUUCCAUACACACCUGUGCACCUAUGGGGCGAGCGUCUCCCUUGAUUGGAGCCGUCCUGCGCGAGCGGGGCUGAGGCGCUCCCUCUUUUACUACAGCCGUCUUAACGCAUGUCUUGCGCUCCACGGAGCGAAAUGUUAAUA